AGUGAACGCUGGCGGUAGGCCUAACACAUGCAAGUCGAACGGCAGCACAGUAAGAGCUUGCUCUUACGGGUGGCGAGUGGCGGACGGGUGAGGAAUACAUCGGAAUCUACUUUUUCGUGGGGGAUAACGUAGGGAAACUUACGCUAAUACCGCAUACGACCUACGGGUGAAAGCAGGGGAUCUUCGGACCUUGCGCGAUUGAAUGAGCCGAUGUCGGAUUAGCUAGUUGGCGGGGUAAAGGCCCACCAAGGCGACGAUCCGUAGCUGGUCUGAGAGGAUGAUCAGCCAAACUGGAACUGAGAAACGGUCCAGACUCCUAAGGGAGGCAGCAGUGGGGAAUAUUGGACAAUGGGCGCAAGCCUGAUCCAGCCAUACCGCGUGGGUGAAGAAGGCCUUCGGGUUGUAAAGCCCUUUUGUUGGGAAAGAAAAGCAGCAGGUUAAUACCCCGCUGUUCUGACGGUACCCAAAGAAUAAGCACCGGCUAACUUCGUG
RNAcentral lists this ribosomal RNA (492 nucleotides) under uncultured bacterium. RNAcentral describes it as "partial 16S ribosomal RNA". It matches the Rfam family "Bacterial small subunit ribosomal RNA", at positions 29 to 507 of the family's 1533-position model. The record is from RNAcentral.